This is a long non-coding RNA of Apodemus sylvaticus (European woodmouse), 818 nucleotides long. RefSeq lists it as uncharacterized. The record is from RefSeq and is a predicted model, not a curated record. The transcript is spliced from 3 exons. Lineage: Eukaryota; Metazoa; Chordata; Mammalia; Rodentia; Muridae.
CUCCCCUAUCCUCAGUUGUCCUCCAAGGCCGUCUCUCGACUCUUUUUUCCGGGUUAAUUACGUUUCGCAUUAAAGCAAAACCCAGCCCCGGAUGUGCCCUGCACGGAGUUGAACACAAAGGCCGUCAAGCCAUCGUCAGCCACAAGAACCAGGAACUAACCUCUACUCAUUGAUUGCUCAGACUUGUGCAUCCAUUGAUAGCGACAGGAACCAGCUUAACACAGUGCAAGAUGCAAAGGACACGCUUUGAAUCCCACACUGGGAGCCAGAGGCAGGCGGAUCUCCGUGGGUUCCAGGCCAGCCUGCUCUGGGUUUCCCCUCCGAAAACCCCCUAUCCCAUCCCCCUCCCCCUGAUCCCAACCCACCCACUCCUGCUUCCCUGUCCUGGCAUUCCCCCACACUGGGGCAUCGAGCCUUCCCAGGACCAAGGGCCUCUCAGCUCAUUGAUGUCCGACAAGGCCAUCCUCUGCUACAUAUGCGUCUGGAGCCAUGGGUCCCUCCAUGUGUACUCUUCAGUUGGCGGGGAAUUUCUCCAAGAAUAUUAUGCCCCAAGCAGGAAAAGUACCAACGUGAGGGGGAGCUUGUCUCUCAUAAAGAGAUCUAAGAACUUGUCAGGCUGCCUUCUAGGAUGAGACUGAAACCCAGACCAUGAGGAGACAACGUGGGCGGAAUGGCGCCUUGACCUUUAAUCUCAACCCAGAACCAGAAGGCUACUAGGGGAGAGGAGCUGCUGGAUCUCCUUGGCUGUCUUCCCAACAUACCCACAUUAAAUAAAUCUCCCUUUCCUAUUUUCCAGUAUUAAUAAAUAAACAAACAAA